This is a long non-coding RNA of Panthera uncia (snow leopard), 2245 nucleotides long. RefSeq lists it as uncharacterized. The record is from RefSeq and is a predicted model, not a curated record. The transcript is spliced from 5 exons. Lineage: Eukaryota; Metazoa; Chordata; Mammalia; Carnivora; Felidae.
UAAGGAGUAGCAUUAGGCCACAGACUCUUCAGAUUUGAUUCACAAGCCUCAUUAAAGGACAAGUCCCAAAAAAGGGUUUUGGUAAAAUAUAUAGAUUGUGCUCCUGUAAAAGCUGUCUUGCAUUGAAACAUUUUAUCCACAACAAAGGCAGAGCAUUAAAUGCCUCAGCACAUUCUGACACAAAGUAUGAAUGAACUUUGAGGAGCAUAGAAAAGCUACAGCACUGUACACUAGAUAAAUGGGCUCAUCCAGUCUGUGUAGGAUGAGAAACUACUGGAGUAGAAGAUGGAACUCAGGAAAUGCCAAAUUUACGGUGUGAAUGGAAGAACAAAUCCAAAAAGGAAACAAAAUGUGUAAAUUGAGAGAAACAUGUCCGCCUGAAGGUUUUGUUUCAAAUGGUUAUUUUGGCUGCAAAUUAGAAAACACAAUAAAUGGAAAUAAUGAUAAAUGAGAAAAAUUUAAAACACUGAGAAGUACUGAAUGAAGGAAAAGACAGAAUUGUAGAAGAAAUGCACAUACUAUGUGUGACCAUGGGAUCAUUUGUGGAGUUUCCUUCAAAAGUUCCACCUAAGAGGACAGACUAGAGGAUACUGUGAUCCAACACAGAGGGAGUCUGUGUAAAGCCAACCAUUUGAAGUCCAGAGACUGAGGAUAGAAGGAGUGUCCAGAGAGAAGAGAGGUAUCACCUACAUUACAGGAUUAUAGCUGAAGUUUCCGGUGAAAUAUCCCAACAAUCCCACCAAGUAUCCUGCUAGAGAAACAGUUAUAAUCAUCCACCAAACAGAGAACUCCACUGAUAGUCAUAUAUGUAUGUGCCAAGUACAACUGUGCCCCUCCUUUUAACCCCUCUCUUCCUAUGCCUUUUACAUUGAAAGGUGAAAAUAAGUUGUUAAGGGGUCUUAGGAAUGUGAACAUGGUAAACAGAAAAAGGUGAUCUUGUUGAUUCUUCUAUGCAACUUCAGGCCCCAAGCAUUGCUAAGCUUUGGCAAAGGAGAAACCUUAAAUUAGGUGAGAGUUUGGAAUUUUUAUGAUUUUAGUAUCAUGCUGACCUGUGCAUUGUGGUUAUUAAAAUGAGACUGUUCUUUUGAUUAAAAACUAUGGGAAUGGACCAAGAUUUCAUAAUUUCAUAGACAAGAUGGAACAACAAGCCCACAGAGGUACUAUCGUUAGAGGUCAUGUUGAUGUUGGCAUUGUGAAAUAUGUAUACACACACACACACACACACACACACACACACACACACAAAUACAUAAACAUGGAUAAAAUAAUAGAAUUAUUUUAAUAUUGCUAUAAAUAAAAUUGCAAAACAGUGCUUCUCAGCUAGAGGUAUUUUUGCCCCCUUCUCUAAUCUACCGCUGGGACAUUUUGCAAUGCCUUGGGACAAUUUUGGUUCAGACAACUGACGAAGUAGGUGCUACUAAGGAGAGGCCAGGGAUACUGUUAAACCUCCUACAAUGCACAGGACAUCCCAACAACAAAGAAUUAGCUGACCCCAAUGUCAACAGUGCCCUCUGAGAAACUUUAGAAUAAACUCAUUAUUGCCCCACUUUUUUAAAAAGAUGUUUUCUAGGUCAGUCCACUAAAAAUGCCUAUAAGCAAACACAACUGUAGCAGCAAUAAACACUGGGAUCCAGAUUGCUGUAUCUAAUAUCAUUUUUAUCUGAAAGAAACCAGAGAUCCUUGGAGAAAUGGCUGAUCUAGGUUGUGGCUGGAAAUGUACAAGUUGAGCCUGUGGUGCUUUGUUGUGACAGAGUUUGAUGUUAUUGAGGGUUAAUGAAACUGUGUCAAAGCCACACAGACCAAAGACAAUUUGAACAUCAGAAGGAAUCUAGUUCAAGUGAUUAAAAUAUAUUGACUACAUAAAAAGUCAUUACUACAUGAUGACAUGUAAGAAAAGAAAGAAGAAGAGAAAUAAACAAAAUAUACUCACUGGAAACUACUGGAGGAUGCUAAGGUACAAAUUGAUUACUUUGAAAAUUGAUAAUUAAAUGGAAAUAACUGAGCAUCUACUAGGCCUUCCAGUAUUUUAAGAUUACUAAUUUAUACAAAGAAAUAUAAAAAAAAGAUUUAUAACUGAUAAAAUAAGAAAGAAUAAUGGAAGCAGAAAAUAAUCCUUUUGCAAUCCCUAAGGAAAUGACGACCACUUGUCAAGUCUGAGAGGACAGUUAAAAUACUCCUCUGUUUUUCAACUAUGUGUCUGUGUGAUGCCACAUUUUCUUCAUAUGCUUCAAUCAAAACAACAUGU